GUGGGGAAUUUUGGACAAUGGGCGCAAGCCUGAUCCAGCAAUGCCGCGUGCAGGAAGAAGGCCUUCGGGUUGUAAACUGCUUUUGUACGGAACGAAACGGUCCGGGUUAAUACCCUGGGCUAAUGACGGUACCGUAAGAAUAAGCACCGGCUAACUACGUGCCAGCAGCCGCGGUAAUACGUAGGGUGCAAGCGUUAAUCGGAAUUACUGGGCGUAAAGCGUGCGCAGGCGGUUGUGUAAGACAGGCGUGAAAUCCCCGGGCUCAACCUGGGAAUUGCGCUUGUGACUGCACAGCUGGAGUGCGGCAGAGGGGGAUGGAAUUCCGCGUGUAGCAGUGAAAUGCGUAGAUAUGCGGAGGAACACCGAUGGCGAAGGCAAUCCCCUGGGCCUGCACUGACGCUCAUGCACGAAAGCGUGGGGAGCAAACAGGAUUAGAUACCCCUGUAGUCC
This 450-nucleotide ribosomal RNA is filed under the name uncultured bacterium. RNAcentral describes it as "partial 16S ribosomal RNA". It matches the Rfam family "Bacterial small subunit ribosomal RNA", at positions 354 to 796 of the family's 1533-position model. The record is from RNAcentral.